UUCGGUCCUUGUCGGCCGUAACCGCGAUCCUCGGUUCCGACGGUGUCGCCUACCUCGAGCUCAGUGAGCCGAUGUGUGAGCGCCGCGACGCCCAGAGCAGCCCCGACGUUAAGCGUCGUCGACGUAGAAAUAUUGCCACAAAGGAAAUCAAAGGUCGAAUUUCUGUGCGGAUCGUACGUGUUGCCACGGGACUAAAGACAUAGACGAUGAACGUUCAUUAAAAUAAAAAAAAAAAUAAAUAAAAAAUCGUGCAUACAAGAGAAUUCAUUGCUGGACGACAUCUGUAUGAAUCCUGACGAAUGAGUCGCUGUGGAAAUUAUGAAACGUUAAACACACCCCAAAGGCAAAGGCACACCCUUGCAUUUAAGAAACUGGGGUACUGAAAUACAUGCGGCUCAUAAACGUAAGUUCCACUUUCUAUCAUCUA
Frieseomelitta varia is the source of this 427-nucleotide long non-coding RNA. RefSeq lists it as uncharacterized. The record is from RefSeq and is a predicted model, not a curated record. Lineage: Eukaryota; Metazoa; Arthropoda; Insecta; Hymenoptera; Apidae. The transcript is spliced from 4 exons.